UGGCAAACGGGUGAGGAAUAUAGAGGAAUCUACCUAGCAGUAAGGAAUAACUUUGGGAAACUAAAGCUAAUGCCAUAUAUUACCGAUUUAUCGGGAAAGAUUUAUCGCUGUUAGAUGAGCCUCUAUCGGAUUAGCUAGUUGGUAGGGUAAUGGCCUACCAAGGCAGAGAUCCGUAGCUGGUCUGAGAGGAUGAUCAGCCACACUGGGACUGAGACACGGCCCAGACUCC
RNAcentral lists this ribosomal RNA (229 nucleotides) under uncultured bacterium. Its description in RNAcentral is "partial 16S ribosomal RNA". It matches the Rfam family "Bacterial small subunit ribosomal RNA", at positions 96 to 339 of the family's 1533-position model. The record is from RNAcentral.